GUAGUUGUCUACACCAUCGAGUUCCAGAAAAGAGGUCUACCUCAUGCACAUAUACUAUUAUUUUUGGAUCCAGAUGACAGGGAUCCUAGCCCCCAAAAUAUUGACCAGAUCAUAUCAGCAGAGGUGCCAGACAAGGAUGUUGAUCCAGAAGGUUACAUGGCAGUUGAAAAUUUCAUGAUGCAUGGACCAUGUGGCCAGGCAUGCUACAAGUCACCAUGCAUGAUCAAUGGGAAGUGCUCAAAACAUUUCCCUAAGAUGUUCUGCGAGGAAACAAGCAUCGAUGAAGAAGGAUUCCCAAUAUACAGAAGAAGAAAUAAUGGCAGGACAGUAGAAAAAGGAGUACAACUAGAUAGCAGGUAUGUUGUUCCAUACAACAGGGACCUGAUAGUCAAUUACCAGGCCCACAUAAACGUGGAAUGGUGUAAUAAAUCAUGAUCCAUAAAGUAUUUGUUCAAGUACAUCCACAAAGGAGAGGAUAGAGCAACUGUAGUUUUGGGUGGAGGAAAUAACUAUGACGAGAUACAAAUGUACCUUAAUGCACGAUACCUAUCCGCAGGUGAAGCAUCUUGGCGUAUCUUUGGAUUUGAACUUCAGCACCGGUAGCUUUCUGUACAGAGACUGCAGUUCCAUCUUCAAGGUGAGCAAAUUGUCGUGUUCCCAGACUCAACUGAUAUUGAGAAAAUUGUACAUAGACCUGGCAUAGAGGAAACAAUUUUCACUGAAUGGAUGACCGCUAAUCAAUUGUAUGAGGAGGCCCGUAAUCUGACAUAUGCAGAAUUCCCCACUAAGUGGACGUGGCAUGCAAAGGAGAAAAGAUGGAAACCAAGGAAAGGCGGGAAACGGUCUAUUGGGAGGAUCUACUAUGCCCAUCCAGCAAGUGGUGAGAAAUAUUACCUAAGAAUUCUGGUAAAUAUUGUCAAAGGUUGUAAAUCAUAUGAGGACAUCAGAAAAGUAAAUGGUAUUGUACACCCAACCUAUAAAUCAACAUGUUAUGCCCUGGGAUUACUCAAAGAUGACCAAGAGUGGGAUGAUUGUAUUAAGGAAGCAUCACACUGGGCUUCUGCACAACAAAUGUGACAACUUUUUUGCACAAUACUCAUUUUUUGUGAGGUCACAGAUCCAGGGAAACUAUGGGAAUCUACAUGGGAAUUACUCUCAGAUGACAUUCAGCGACGUCAGAAGAAAGAACUUCAUCUUAAUCCUGAACAAAUACAAAAUCUCACACUUAUAGAAAUAGAGAUGUUGCUAAGGAGAGGUGGAAAGUCAUUAAAGGAUUAUGAAGGAAUUCCAUUACCAGAUAGCAACUCACUACAAGGUCUGCAAAAUAGGUUAGUAAGUGAAGAGCUUAACUAUGACAGAGAUUCUCUACAAAUAGAGAAAGCGGAACUACUUGCAAAGUUAAAUCCAAAAUAGAAACAAGCUUUUGAUGCAAUAGUUCAAUCUGUAAAUAGCAGACUAGGAAAAUUGAUAUUUGUCAAUGGAUAUGGUGGAACAGGAAAAACAUUUCUUUGGAAGGCAAUCAUGACAUCACUAUGAUCUGAAGGAAAAAUAGUUUUAGUUGUAGCAUCCAGUGCAAUAGCAGCACUUCUUAUACCCGGGGGAAGAACUGCACAUUCAAGAUUUCACAUCCCAUUAAACAUCACUAAUGAGUCCACAUGUGACAUCAAGCAAGGAUCCUAUCUUGCAGACCUGCUAAAGAAAACAUCCUUAAUUAUAUGGGAUAAAGCACCUAUGGCAAACAAACAUUGCUUUGAAGCAUUGGACAGGAGCUUGAGAGACAUCCUAAGGUUCACAAAUGAAAGUAGUGCAGAUAAACCAUUUGGUGGGAUGACGGUAGUGAUGGGAGGUGACUUCAGACAAAUUCUUCCAGUAAUACCGAAAGGGCGAAGAUCUCACAUUGUAGAUGCAUCCUUAAAACGUUCCUACUUAUGGAACCACUUUGAGGAAUUCAAGCUCACUGAGAACAUGCGCAUUUCUGCACUAACAGAUACUCCAGAAGAACAAAAGAAGACCGCAGAUUUUGCAGACUGGAUUCUAAAUAUUGGAGAUGGAUUAGUUGGAAAUAAAGAAGAAAAGGCAUGGGUAAAUAUACCAGAGGACUUACUACUGCAAAAAGGAGAGAACCAAUUAGAAACAAUCAUCAAUAGCACCUAUCCAAACCUAUGGACGAACUACAUGAACCGAACAUACUUAGAAGAGAGAGCCAUCUUAUGUCCAAGAAAUGAGAUGGUCGAUGAGGUAAAUUCUUACAUAAUGGGUAGAAUAGAAGGCGAGGAGGUAACUUAUCGAAGUUCAGAUACAGUGUGCAAAGCAAUGUCAAAUUCAGAAGAUGGAGAACGUUUGUACCCAACAGAAUUCCUGAAUAGCUUGAAGUGCCCUGGAAUACCAGAUCACGAAAUACGGCUGAAAGUUGGACUGCCAGUUAUGCUGCUACGGAAUAUCAACCAAAGCGAGGGCUUAUAAAAUGGUACGAGACUAACUAUAACACAACUAGGUAAAUGGUUCAUAGAAGCUCAGAUAAUAACAGGGACAAAUAUUGGAAACAAGGUAUAUAUUCCAAGGAUUAUUAUGUCACCAAGUGACUCAAAAUGGUUGUUUGUGUUGAAAAGGAGGCAGUACCCAAUAUCAGUUUGUUUUGCGAUGACGAUAAAUAAGAGUCAAGGGCAGUCUCUAAAACAUGUGGGGCUAUAUUUACCAAAGCAGGUGUUCACACAUGUCCAACUCUAUGUUGCGGCAUCAAGAUUCACAAGUAGAGAUGGACUUAAAGUUCUAAUUUCAGAUGAAGAAUCUAAGGAAAAUAAUUCAGAAAAAAAUAUUGUGUACAAGGAGAUCCUUUAG
RNAcentral lists this ribosomal RNA (2838 nucleotides) under Triticum aestivum (bread wheat). RNAcentral's name for it is "partial small subunit ribosomal RNA". The record is from RNAcentral. Lineage: Eukaryota; Viridiplantae; Streptophyta; Magnoliopsida; Poales; Poaceae.